CUACGGGUUGCUCCAGCGGGGAAUAUUGGACAAUGGGCGCAAGCCUGAUCCAGCAAUACCGCGUGUGUGAAGAAGGCCUUCGGGUUGUAAAGCACUUUCAGUAGGGAGGAAAAGCUUAUAACUAAUAUUUAUAAGCCGUGACGUUACCUACAGAAGAAGCACCGGCUAACUCUGUGCCAGCAGCCGCGGUAAUACAGAGGGUGCAAGCGUUAAUCGGAAUUACUGGGCGUAAAGCGCACGUAGGCGGAUACUUAAGUCAAUUGUGAAAGCCCCGGGCUCAACCUGGGAACUGCAGUUGAUACUGGGUAUCUAGAGUAUGGUAGAGGUAUGUGGAAUUCCCGGUGUAGCAGUGAAAUGCGUAGAGAUCGGGAGGAACACCAGUGGCGAAGGCGGCAUACUGGACCAAUACUGACGCUGAGGUGCGAAAGCGUGGGGAGCAAACAGGAUUAGAUACCCCGGUAGUC
This 464-nucleotide ribosomal RNA is filed under the name uncultured bacterium. RNAcentral's name for it is "partial 16S ribosomal RNA". It matches the Rfam family "Bacterial small subunit ribosomal RNA", at positions 339 to 795 of the family's 1533-position model. The record is from RNAcentral.